Molecule: ribosomal RNA, 393 nt
Filed under: uncultured bacterium
Lineage: Bacteria
Description: partial 16S ribosomal RNA
Rfam family: Bacterial small subunit ribosomal RNA
Source: RNAcentral
AUACGGAGGACGCGAGCGUUAUCCGGAUUCAUUGGGUUUAAAGGGUGCGCAGGCGGCCGUGCAAGUCAGCGGUGAAAGCCCGGGGCUCAACCCCGGAAGUGCCGUUGAUACUGCAUGGCUGGAAUGCGGUCGAGGCGGGCGGAACGUGGCGUGUAGCGGGGAAAUGGGUAGAUAUGCCACGGAAAGCCGAUAGCGGAGGCAGCUCGCCAGGCCUGCAUUGACGCUCGGGCACGAAAGCGUGGGGAUCGAACAGGAUUAGAUACCCUGGUAGUCCACGCCGUAAACGAUGGGCGCUCGUCGUCGGCGGCAGACAGUCGGCGGCCAAGCGAAAGCGAUAAGCGCCCCACCUGGGGAGUACGGUCGCAAGGCUGAAACUUAAAGGAAUUGACGGGG